CCUACGGGGGGCAGCAGUGGGGAAUAUUGGACAAUGGGGGCAACCCUGAUCCAGCCAUGCCGCGUGUGUGAAGAAGGCCCUCGGGUUGCAAAGCACUUUCAGUGAGGAAGAACGCCUGGUGGUUAAUACCCAUCAGGAAAGACAUCACUCACAGAAGAAGCACCGGCUAACUCCGUGCCAGCAGCCGCGGUAAUACGGAGGGUGCGAGCGUUAAUCGGAAUUACUGGGCGUAAAGCGCGCGUAGGUGGCUUGAUAAGCCGGUUGUGAAAGCCCCGGGCUCAACCUGGGAACGGCAUCCGGAACUGUCAAGCUAGAGUGCAGGAGAGGAAGGUAGAAUUCCCGGUGUAGCGGUGAAAUGCGUAGAGAUCGGGAGGAAUACCAGUGGCGAAGGCGGCCUUCUGGACUGACACUGACACUGAGGUGCGAAAGCGUGGGUAGCAAACAGGAUUAGAUACCCCUGUAGUC
This 465-nucleotide ribosomal RNA is filed under the name Vreelandella stevensii. Its description in RNAcentral is "partial 16S ribosomal RNA". It matches the Rfam family "Bacterial small subunit ribosomal RNA", at positions 338 to 795 of the family's 1533-position model. The record is from RNAcentral. Lineage: Bacteria; Pseudomonadati; Pseudomonadota; Gammaproteobacteria; Oceanospirillales; Halomonadaceae.